Molecule: ribosomal RNA, 314 nt
Filed under: uncultured bacterium
Lineage: Bacteria
Description: partial 16S ribosomal RNA
Rfam family: Bacterial small subunit ribosomal RNA
Source: RNAcentral
GUAUAAGAGACAGCAGUAGCCGCGGGAAUACGAAGGGGGCUAGCGUUGUUCGGAAUUACUGGGCGUAAAGCGCACGCAGGCGGCUCGAUAAAUUAGAAGUGAAAGCCUUGGGCUUAACCUGAGAAUUGCUUUUAAGACUGUCGAGCUAGAAUCCAGAAGAGGGUAGUGGAAUUCCGAGUGUAGAGGUGAAAUUCGUAGAUAUUCGGAUGAACACCAGUGGCGAAGGCGGCUCACUGGACGACUGUUGACGCUGAGGUGCGAAAGCGUGGGGAGCAGACAGGAUUAGAUACCCCCGUAGUCCCUGUCUCUUAUAC